GGAUGGGUGGCCGAGUGGUUUAAGGCGCACGCCUGGAGAGCGUGUGGACACGAAUGUGUCUCGUGGGUUCGAAUCCCACCCCAUCCGCCA
This 90-nucleotide transfer RNA is filed under the name Chloroflexota bacterium. RNAcentral's name for it is "Chloroflexi bacterium tRNA-Ser". It matches the Rfam family "tRNA". From Rfam's summary of the family: Transfer RNA (tRNA) molecules are approximately 80 nucleotides in length. The record is from RNAcentral. Lineage: Bacteria; Bacillati; Chloroflexota.